This 1495-nucleotide ribosomal RNA is filed under the name Patescibacteria group bacterium. RNAcentral describes it as "bacterial SSU rRNA". It matches the Rfam family "Bacterial small subunit ribosomal RNA". The record is from RNAcentral.
UCUUUUGAGAGUUUGAUCCUGGCUCAGGACGAAUGUUGGCGGCGUGCCUAAUCUAUGCAAGUCGAACGCCCGCCUCUCAAGUCGCAAGACGAGAGGGCGGGAGUGGCGAACGAGUGAGUAAUACGUGGGAAUCUACCCUUGUCACAGGAAUAACUCACCGAAAGGUGGAUUAAUACCUGAUGGUCUCCAGGUUUAAAUCUGGAGUAAAGUUCUGACCUAAAGUCGGAAUGGACAAGGAGGAGCCUGCGGGCUAUCAGCUAGUUGGUAGGGUAAAGGCCUACCAAGGCUAUGACGGCUAGGGGACGUGAGAGCGUGAUCCCCCACGAUGGAACUGAGACACGGUCCAUACACCUACGGGUGGCAGCAAGUGGGAAUAUUGCGCAAUGGGCGAAAGCCUGACGCAGCGACGCCGCGUGAAGGAUGAAGGCCUUCGGGUUGUAAACUUACAUUAAAAAGCAUCGGCUAACUACGUGCCAGCAGCAGCGGUAAUACGUAGGAUGCAAACAUUGUCCGGAUUUAUUGGGCGUAAAGAGUUCUGUAGGCGGGGUAAAAAGUUGUCUGUUAAAGACCUUGGCUUAACCAAGGAAGUGCAUGCAAUACUAUUACCCUAGAGUUACCUAGGGGUAGACGGAACAUAUGGAGUAGGAGUGAAAUCCGUUGAUACCAUAUGGAACACCAAAGGCGAAGGCAGUCUACUGGGGGUUAACUGACGCUAAGAGACGAAAGCGUGGGGAGCAAAACGGAUUAGAUACCCGUGUAGUCCACGCUGUAAACAAUGCCUGCUGGAUACCUGUCCCGACUAAGUCGGGAUGGGUGUCGAAGCUAACGCGUUAAGCAGGCCGCCUGGGAAGUACGGUCGCAAGAUUAAAACUCAAAGGAAUUGGCGGGGACCCGCACAAGCGGUGGAGCAUGUGGUUUAAUAGGAUGAUAACCCAAGAACCUCACCCAGGUUUGACAUUCCGAUGCAAUUCCGCCGAAAGGCGGAACUCCUUCGAGGGUUCGGAACAGGUGUCGCAUGGCUGUCGUCAGCUCGAGUCGUGAGAUGUUCGGUUAAGUCCGUUAUCGAGCGCAACCCCUACUACUAGUUGUAUCACUCUAGUGGGACUGCCCGUGUAAACGGGAGGAAGGUGGGGAUGACGUCAAGUCAGCAUGGCCUUUAUGCCUGGGGCUACACACAUGCUACAAUGGUCGGUACAAUGGGUUGCAAUCCCGCGAGGGUGAGCUAAUCCCCAAAACCGAUCUCAGUUCGGAUUGAAGGCUGCAACUCGCCUUCAUGAAGUAGGAAUCGCUAGUAAUCGCCGGUCAGCUAUACGGCGGUGAAUACGUUCUCGGGUCUUGCACACACCGCCCGUCAAGUCAGCAAAGUUAGAACCAUCUAAAGACCCGAAUUUAGCAACGCAAGUUGCUUAUUGAAAGGUCUAAGUUGGGGCUAGUGAUGAGGAUUAAGUCGUAACAAGGUAGCGCUAGGGGAAUCUGGCGCUGGAUCACCUCCUUU